Molecule: ribosomal RNA, 2964 nt
Filed under: Candidatus Daviesbacteria bacterium GW2011_GWB1_36_5
Lineage: Bacteria; Candidatus Daviesiibacteriota
Description: 23S ribosomal RNA
Rfam family: Bacterial large subunit ribosomal RNA
Source: RNAcentral
AGGCGUACGGUGGAUGCCUUGGUCGAAAGUACCGAAGAAGGACGUAUUAGGCUGCGAUAAUUUGCGGGGAGCUGCCAAAAAGCUUUGAUCCGCAAGAUUCCGAAUGGAGUAAUCCCCCCGAUUUAUCGGGGACUGUUAACUGAAUUCAUAAGUUAACGGAGGGUACGUGCCGAACUGAAACAUCUAAGUAAGCACAGGAAAAGAGAACAAAAGUUAUUCCCUAAGUAGUGGCGAGCGAAAUGGGAACAGUCUAAACCAUACACCAGGCAUUCGCGCAAGCGAAUGACCCGUAUGGGGUUGUGAGGCAACAGUAGCGACAAAUUUAACUAACAGAACAAGCUGGAAAGCUUGACCAAAGAAGGUGACAGUCCUGUAAGUAAAAGUUAAGUUUGCGUGGUUGAUCCCUCAAGUAGCUCAGGACACGAGUAAUCCUGGGUGAAUCCGGCAGGACCAUCUGCUAAGACUAAAUAUACUUUCGGACCGAUAGUGAACUAGUACCGUGAGGGAAAGGUGAAAAGAAGAGCGGAACGCUCAGUGAAAUAGUACCUGAAACCGUAUGCUGACAAGCAGCGAAAGUCCCGAUUUAUCGAGGAUGAUCGCGUGCCUAUUGAAGAAUGAACCGGUGAGUUAUUUGUUGUGGCAAGGCUAACCCGUCAAGGCGGGGAAGCCGUAGUGAAAGCAAGCCUUAAAAGGGCGAUUAGUCAUAACUUAUAGACCCGAAACCGUGUGAGCUAACCAUGUGCAGGGUGAAGGCCGCCGAAAGGCGGUUGGAGGCCCGAACCCGUAUCUGUGGAAAUAGGUUGGGAUGACAUGUGGUUAGAGGUGAUAUGCCUAGCGAACACGGAGAUAGCUGGUUCUCCCCGAAAUAUAUUUAGGUAUAGCCCUGUGUAAUAACAUUGGGGGUAGAGCUCUGGAUGGAUUUGGCGGCAGCAAUGUCGUCACUCCAAUCAAACUUCAAAUACCAAUGUUUUGUAGCAGGAGUCAGUCCGAUCCGGCUAAGCGGAGCGGUCCUGAGGGAAACAACCCAGAUCGUCAGUUAAGGUCCCUAAAUGCAAGCUAAGUGUUAAAGGAAGUUUAGUUCCUUAGACAGCCAGGAAGUUGGCUUAGAAGCAGCCACCUUUUAAAGAUAGCGUAACAGCUCGCUGGUCUACUACGGAAUUGAGCGCCGACAACGUAUCGGGGCUAAGCUUGCUACCGAAGCUACGAAUCCGAGGUGGUAGGGGAGCGUUCUAAAUGUUAUGAAGCUAAGCUGUGAGGCUUGGUGGAACGUUUAGAAGUGAGAAUGCCGGUAUGAGUAACGUAUGAAUGUGAGAAACAUUCAAGCCGAAAGCCCAAGGUUUCCGAUCCCAUGUUAAUCAGGGUCGGGUUAGUCGGUCCUAAGGUCAGGCCACGUUAGUGGAUUAGCCGAUGGACAACAGGUUAAAAUUCCUGUACUUUUUUAUGUUUGACAAGUUUUGAAGUUUUGAGAAAUCAAAAUCAGGAAGCCAUUAAGGAUGAACAGAGUAGGAAAAUCUUUGCCAGCUAUACGCUGGUACAAGCAACAAGUUAGUGGAGGCAGGCAAAUCCGCUUCUACAAGCUGUCAGUUACGCUGAUUUUAGUGAUCAGUUUGACUGGCUUUAGUCAGCUCAGCUGAUAGCUAAAAAAUACAAGUUGUGAUGUCGGAAGAAAGAGUUUUUCUGUUUUCAGGAAAAGAUUCGUAAUGGAAACAUAGAGAACCCGUACUAAAACCAACACAGGUGGGCGAGUUGAGUAUACAAAGGCUAUCGAGAGAACUAUCCUUAAGGAACUCGGCAAUAUAGCUGGACGUAAGUUAGCGAGAUGUCCUGCCCGUAGAAAUACGGGUUGCAAUAAAUGACGCUGAGCGACUGUUUAUCAAAAACACAGGUCCCUGCUAAUCUGAAAAGAGAUGUAUAGGGGCUGACACCUGCCCAGUGCCAGUAAAUUAAAAUUGGAGAUGACCUCUGAGAGUAAUCAAUGAGUGAGUUUCUGGUCUAAGUUCUGGUGAACGGCGGCUUUAACUAUAAGAGUCCUAUGGUAAUUCGUUAGCGAAAUUCCUUGUCUGGUGAGUUCAGACCCGCACGAAUGGUAGAACGACUUAGCGACUGUCUUGAGGAUAGACUCGGUGAAAUUGCAAUGGCUGUGAAGAUGCGGCCUUCCCAUACUUGGACAAGAAGACCCCGUGGAGCUUUACUGGAGCUUGGCCCUGUUUUGAAAAAUUAAUUGUGUAGCGUAGGAGGGAGAUUCGUCGACAAUGAAACACCUCUCUUUUAAUUUUUCAGGACUAACCCUAAUCCUUAUAAAAACAGGAAAGGAGACAAGGUCUGGCGGACAGUUUUACUGGGGCGGUAGCCUCCAAAAUCGUAACGGAGGCGUACAAAGGUACACUUACCUCAUAAAGAAAUUGAGGUUUAAGCGCAAAAGUAUAUAGUGUGCUUGACUGCGAGACAAACAGGUCGAGCAGGUGCGAAAGCAGGUUUUAGUGAUCCUUAUUUACCUCAUGGGAGGGAAUAGGCUUAUCGGAUAAAAGCUACCCCGGGGAUAACAGGCUAGUCUUGCCCAACAGUCCACAAGGACGGCAAGGUUCGGCACCUAGCGAUGUCGGCUCAUCGUAUCCUGGGGCUGAAGUAGGUCCCAAGGGUCUGGCUGUUCGCCAGUUAAAACGGUACGCGAGCUGGGUUCAAACCGUGUGAGACAGGUUGGACUCUAUCCAGUAUGGGCGUUUGGAUUCUUGAAGGGAGUUGUCUCUAGUACGAGAGGACCGAGAUGAGGAAACCUCUAGUGUGCCGGUUGUACUUACAAGUGCAGCGCCGGGUAGCUACGUUUCUUUUUGAUAAGUGCUGAAAGCAUCUAAGCACGAAGCAGACCCUAAGAUGAGGAAUCUUUAAGACUCCUGGAAGACUACCAGGUUGAUAGGCUGGCGGUGUAAGAUCUGUGAGGAUUUUAGCCAACCAGUACUAAUAGUC